GGCGCGGUGGACGAAUGGGAGAGUCGCCUGCCUUUCAAGCAGGACAUGUUGCGGGUUCGAAUCCCGUCCGCGCUG
Molecule: transfer RNA, 75 nt
Filed under: Plantactinospora alkalitolerans
Lineage: Bacteria; Bacillati; Actinomycetota; Actinomycetes; Micromonosporales; Micromonosporaceae
Description: Plantactinospora sp. S1510 tRNA-Glu
Rfam family: tRNA
About the family: Transfer RNA (tRNA) molecules are approximately 80 nucleotides in length. Their secondary structure includes four short double-helical elements and three loops (D, anti-codon, and T loops).
Source: RNAcentral